GCACGCCAUGGUAAUGUGGAGUACGCCGGUUAGGCACAAUCAAACAUGAUAUGCAUUAGUCAAGAGAGUUCCGAAUGGUCGGGGAUUCCCUCAGAGUUAAUAUAGACGGCCAAGCUGACAGACGUGUUCCCUGAUCGUAGGAGCCUGGAAUUCGGUGCUGUACACAGACCCGUGUAACUCUCAGCCUAAGAGUACUCAGCGACACUCUUGGGUAAGUCAUAUAUAUCUAU
This 230-nucleotide long non-coding RNA is filed under the name Mytilus galloprovincialis (Mediterranean mussel). The record is from RNAcentral. Lineage: Eukaryota; Metazoa; Mollusca; Bivalvia; Mytilida; Mytilidae.